AACGAACGCUGGCGGCAUGCCUAACACAUGCCAGUCGAACGAGACCUUCGGGUCUAGUGGCGCACGGGUGCGUAACGCGUGGGAACCUGCCCUUAGGUUCGGAAUAACUCCCCGAAAGGGGUGCUAAUACCGGAUAAUGUCUUCGGACCAAAGAUUUAUCGCCUUUGGAUGGGCCCGCGUUGGAUUAGCUAGUUGGUAGGGUAAAAGCCUACCAAGGCGACGAUCCAUAGCUGGUCUGAGAGGAUGUUCAGCCACACUGGGACUGAGACACGGCCCAGACUCCUACGGGAGGCAGCAGUGGGGAAUAUUGGACAAUGGGCGAAAGCCUGAUCCAGCAAUGCCGCGUGAGUGAUGAAGGCCUUAGGGUUGUAAAGCUCUUUUACCCGGGAUGAUAAUGACAGUACCGGGAGAAUAAGCGCCGGCUAACUCCGUG
This 433-nucleotide ribosomal RNA is filed under the name uncultured bacterium. Its description in RNAcentral is "partial 16S ribosomal RNA". It matches the Rfam family "Bacterial small subunit ribosomal RNA", at positions 29 to 507 of the family's 1533-position model. The record is from RNAcentral.